UCCCAGAGCCAAAGCCCCCUCCACAUCCCAAGUUCCUAACCUGACCUCCACCAUGAGAGAUUAACAUCCCAACCAGCUGCUGCUCGCAACGUACGUAGCAUCUUGCCCGCCCCUCGUCGAAGUCCGACCCGCAGCUAGCUCAGCCGGCGGCCGGCGAGCACAACGUACGUGGUGGGGUCGCACUCGCGCACCACCGGCGGAGCUAGCUAGCUAGCGUUGCCCCUGUCUCUGCCACCGCUCGUCGCCGCGGCCGGCCUGCCUGUAGAUCGUACGCCGACUUCGACGACGUACGGCCACCUCCUCCCCCAACGAAUUAGCCAUACGGAAGGACAAGGUGAGAGUACCGCUAGCUACAUGCAUCUUUAGCUUGAUUUGCUAUCCACUUAAUCGCGGAGACGUACAAGCGGAACCUUGUCUUGUAAGGUGCUGCAACAUUAAGUUUUAGAUUUGGAUGUAGGUAUUAAGAAAGUGAUGAAAUUAAAAACUGAAGAGUUGUGAUUGGUUAAAAAAAUUGUAAUUGAAGAGGUUGCUAUAUUCUAAGAUAAAUUUUAAAUGCUAGAAAUAACUAUAUUUUGAUAUUUUGGGUGGGACGGAGGGAGUAACAAUUUUUUAAAGAAACCUACAAGCUUUGGAGCCUCUUAAUGUUUUGAUGCGGAAUUUUUUUUCUGUAUAUUCCAGUUAGCUGUUGUAACCCCACAUUAAACAUUUCCUGAUUUAUUGUUGCUAGCUGUUCUAUGCAGUUUUUUAAUUAAGGGGUAAAGUCCAUCUUACUCUCCAAAUAUGGCAAAGGCAAAGAAAAAGAAGAAGAAAAAAAACCCCAAAGGUAUUGCUUUCGGAGCUUGAACGGCCUACCUAUUUGUACACUUAUUGAUUCUUAAGAAGUUUUGUUGUUUAAUAUGGUUAUCAUGUUUUCAGCUUACUUUUGAAUAAUUGGAUUGGACAGUCAUAGGAAAGAAAAAAUAAAUGAGUAAGUAAUGAUGCCAUUUUAUUAAUUACUAGUAAAUCUGCGUGCAAUGCAAUUAUAGCAUAUUUCAUAUCAUGCACUAUAAUACAUAAUGAUUUUUAUUUAAUAAUAUAUAAUGAUGUUCUUAUUUUUACAUACAACUUAAAACUAAAAAUUUUAAGACAUUAUGAUGUUUGGGCUUAUCAUGAAAAGCUUAAAAAAAAUGGACAACUUAUCAUGGCGAUGUAGGGACUAUAUGGACACUGUGUUCUUUCUAUGUUCAUACAUAGCAAAUAAAGAAUAGCUUGUUUAUCUUUCCAUCAUUAAGAUUGUUAUAGAAAUUUCCUAUUAAUUAGUCCCUUUUGUUAUCUAUAAUCACAUAUACAUAUUAGCAAUUUCAUAAAUAAGUUACUACUCACUCCAUUUCAGGUUAUAAUACGUUUUGACUUUAGUUAAAGUUUAACUACUCUAAGUUUGACUAACUAUGUAGAAAAAAGUAGUAAUAUUUUUAACCCAAAACUAAUAUGUUAUGAAAAUUUAAUCAAUUAUAGAUUUAAUAAAACUAUGCUAGUGUUAUAAAUAUUAUUUUUUAUAGAGCUAGUUAAACUUACAGUAGUUUAUCUUUAACUAAAAUCAAAACUUAUUAUAAUCUGAAACGUAAACGGUGAGAGUAUAUCUUAACGUAGUUAGGGUGUGUUCUAAACUGCAUAGUUGGCUGGCUGGUGCAUUACGCACUGUAGCAGAUAUAUAUUUGGGAAGGGAUGAAUCAUGAAUGUAACCGGUGACAUCGCCAACACCCGUGACGCUCGAGGCCGUCGUCGGUCGUCUUCUUCGGUCGCCUACGACUGCGAGGACACCGCUUUAUUGUCCACCGGGUCAUUCACUUUCCCCAACCUCGCGUAGGAGAGAGCACCCAAGAGACCGUCGGUCGUCGAUGCGAAGGAGGAAUGCGACGCGACGUGCCGUCCACAGCUCUGUCCUCUCUGUCCGUUGUCCUCAGCGGCGUGCACUUGGUUGACAUGGACGGCUCAUGAAGACCUCCUUGGCAGCCGCAUCAGGGAAAAGUAGUGAUUCCGGCUGCGGCUGAGCAGCAUUGGCACGUGAAACCCUCCCUCCCUCUGCGUCGAUCUUAGGGUGUGCUCGUUAGGGCUGGUAGUGCUAGCUGCGGAGGUAGUGCUCCAAUGCACUGUGCAGCACGCGGAUAGGACUGCAGAAGUCAAUAACGUGGGCUGGCAGCGUUCCUGACGAGAGUUAGGUCGCCGUCGCCAACUUUCCAUCUUCCUCCCGUGCAUUGUAUUAGCCAGUGGUUUUUACGGUGUGCAUCGCUUUUCCUAAAUCGGUUGUGUGCUGUGGUUUGGCCAUAUUACCUUGCUGUGCACCUCACCCCCAUUGUUGGACUUCCAAGCUUGAGCUCAUCCUUUUGCCCGAAAUAUCUUGCUCUGCCCUCCUAUUGUUCUACCUCCAAGCGUGCCCGCAUCCAUUUGCAUACCGGAUAUCUCGACGUCGCUAGGUUUCUUCUGCACACCAGCGGUCGUCGACUGCAUCGUAGCCUUGGUGCCCAGACCGGCGUGGCCUUGCAGAGCACGCGCAUGGCGUAGAAUACUCGGCCUAAUCAGGUAGGCAUCCACUUCCCACAUUUGUCUGGCGCAUCAGAGGCGGAGAAAGGAGCUCUGGUUAGGAGCAUCGCUGCAUCGAGUGGAGUGAAAGCAUCGAGGUUGCCGAUUCUGGAAUCGUCGCAGCAAGCGCAGCGAGCGGUCUGGUCCAAUCUCGUGCGGCACAGUAAAAGGGAUUUGGCUCCUGUAGCGCCCUUUCCGUCGUAGCGCAUAGCGGGAAAAUUAAAACUUAAAAACCCUAAUUGUGAAAGUCCGCUGUUUGUUUGAAGUAUGUGUGCAUGCCAGUCUCGGAUCUCAGAUCCCCGAUUUGUCAAAUUCGAAUCCCCAAUUCAAAUUCCUAUGCAAAAGUCUAGUUUGCCUCCCUCAUAUUUGCUGGGCCGAUUUUCCUCCUCGGCCUACUCUCUCUCUCUCUCAGCUCGUUUCCCCCUCAGUCUCUCUUCCCCACGUGCGCCGCACGUGAUCGCGGUCGACUCCGAGCCGAGAGAGCUCUCUCUCUCUCUCGUUCAUCUCUCUCUCCAUUUUCUCCCUCCCGGCGUCGAACUCUCGCCCUCGAAAUCGCACGCCGUUGCUUCGCGCGCGCUCCCGCGAUCGCCGUCGUCGUCAGCUGCCUGCGCCGCCUGUGCCGCGCUGCCCUGCCGCGGCUCUGUAACGCGUGCCCGAGCCGUUCCACCCGGCUCUCCCUCUCCCUCCCGCGUGCCGCUUGGGCCGCCUCUCCGUGCCGGCCGGCCAACUAAGCUCACCCGAGCCGUGCCUCUCCUCUUGUCCCGCGCCUAAACCGCCCGAGGAAAGUCUAUUCCCCCUCCCUCUUUCUUUUUCUUUUCAAAAAGGGUUUAAAUAAAUCAUUUUCCCUUUAGACCAAAAAUCAAAUAAUCUUAGAAAUUCCAUAUCUUCGCAACCGUGCAUCCGAUCGACUCUGUUCACUUCCAAAUUUUCUCAAAUCUCGAGAUCUAUCUAAUGGCACGCUUAGAGGUCAAUAAUAGGGCUUUAUUUUCGCGUUUGUUGAUUUGUCUCGUUUCGCGUAUAGCUUGGGAGCCCGAAGACCCGCGGUGCGCGGAUUUCGAGGAUCAAGCUCAAGAUCUCGAGAAAGGCAAGUCACCUUUGAUCAUCUUGCACCUAUAAUUUAAAUCUAAGUAUUUCUUUUCAGCAAAUAAUGCAUGACUAGGAGUAACACGAGUAUUUUGGCCGCGGUUGCGAGAUAGCCUGCUGGCUCCAAUCCUAAUUGCUGCAAUUACCCUCCUUGAAUUAUUGAACACUUAAACCACCCUUGUCAACUGCUAUGCUUCGAUGCAUAGGCCUUCGGGCACGCGCCUCGGAACACUCCUCUCAAAUUUAAAAAUAUCCAACAAUGGGUAAAAUUUGGGGUUUUACAAAAGACUUGAAAAACCCGACACUUGGAUCGGUGCUUGCGAACUAAAUAAUUUUCCAAAAUCGCGGACCAGGGGACUUACCGGGAGUACAGUUUCCCGCUCUUGCACUUAAGGACCGUUUCCUUUGGAAUUUCAUCCGAACAUAAGAUAAGUGCGACCACAUGGGUGAAAUGGGACGCCCCUGGCUGAGUAAUUAGCUAAUCAGGGGAACCUUGAUACCAAGAGACAAGUGGAUUCAACGGGGUGGAGUCGAGGAGAACCCCCGGGCCUCCUGGCGUAGUAUGGUCUGGGACCCCUCUCUUUGGCAUAUGGUAAACCUGUGUCGGAUUUCGAAAUGCCUUGUCAUGAAAGCCUCAAGCUCACCAGACGUGGCUAUUCUGCACGGGCUGGGUGAUCCGGGUUAGUAAUGUCGUGUGGAUAAAGUGUACCCCCUCUGCAGAGGUUAUUAAACUGUUCGAACAGCCGUACCCACGGUCAUGAGCGGACGUGAGGUGAUUCCUUAGCGUAGUUUUGUUUGACUACUGCUUUGUGAAAUUGCUGUUGUGGAAUGGGAUCGUUGUUUGAAAUAUCUGUGACUGACGGGAUCAGCUAGGCUCGGGUGGCUGUUUGAAAGUUGACGGUUGGGUGCCAACCUUGAAUCAAUUCAAAGACUGAUACAUUACACAUACUCCGAUCGGACGAGACACACUGUCUCAUCCGUGUAAUUUGAGAAGCACUUACUUAGUUGUUUAAAAAGGAGUUUAACUAAAAACAAUUGUGAAAAUGAGCAGCCUUUCCUUUGAAGCCUUCAUUAAACACUUAAUUGUUAUGACUUGCUGAGUACUCCUGUACUCACCCUUACUCUAUAUAAAUAAUCCCCCAGUUGCUGAAGAAGAUGAGAUGGAUCCAGCUGAUGAGGAGUUUGUAACACCCUGAAAAUUCGACCAACAAAAUCAAAACUCUAAAAAUGCGGAUUUUCAAAAACUUUUUAAACAAAUUGCAUCAUGCCGAUUUUAUUCACCUAUUUCAUUGGAUUUUGAUUUCGGAGUUCGUUGAUCGCGAAUAAAGAAUAAUUAAUUAGGAAUAAACCCUAAAAUUAAACUGGCAAAAUAAAUAAUUAAAAUAUAAUUUAAAAUAAAGAUUAGGUGAGGUUGGUAAUAAAUAAAAAUAUUAUCGCGACCAUAUUAGUAUCAAUUAAAUUUAAGUGCGAUGGAAUAAGAAUUAACUUUAAUUAAAUUAAGUAAAUUAUAUAAAAAUAAAAUAUGGGUAAUGUUAAUCUAGGGCGAAUCUUUUGGUUAGAGCAACACAAAUAUUGAGUAAACUUGAUUUGUGCAAAAGUUAGAAUUUAUAAGGCGAGAUUUAAAUAGAAAAUAGACUAAAUUAGGGUUAAUAACAAUCUAGCACUAUUCAUUGCCAACAAGGUGCUUGAUGUGGUCCUAGCCGGCCCCGAGCCCCGCGCCGCCGAUGCCGUCGCGUCGCCGUCGCCGCACUGUCCCAUCACCGUCUGCCGCCGCGCGCCGUCGCCAUCGCCGCUGCCGCGCCGCGCGCCGUCCCGUCGCGCCGUCGCGUCGCCACGCCGCCGUCCCGUCGCCUCGCGCCGCGCGCUUGCCGCCUCGCGCCCCGCGCCGCUGCCGCGCCGCGCCGCGUCGCCGUCGCGUCGCCUGUCGCCGUCGCGUCGCCUGUUGCCGUCGCGCCGAGCCCUGUGCCAAGCCGCGCUGAGCCCCGCGCCGCGCCGCCCACCCGUCGCGUCGCCGAUGCCGCCUGCCGCGCCGCGCGCCCGUCGCCAUAGCCGCCUCGAACCCCACGCGCCGCGCCGUCGCGUCGCCAUUAGGGCCGGCCACCUCUCCCCGCGCCUUAUAAAUCCCCUUCCCGGUCGCCAUUUCACCCCGCACCACCUUACCUCCUCUUCCCCCAUUUUCCCCUCUUUCCUCUCCACCGCGCCGCCGCCUUCGUGCCGUUGCGCCGCCGCCCUCGGUGCCGCCGCGCCGCGCCGAGAGCUGCGCCAUGCGUCGCCGCCACCGCCGUUGGUAAGCCGCCGCCCCUCCCGUUGUUCGGUCUCCGCCGCCGCCUUGGGUAGGCAGUGAGCCGAGAGAGAGAGGAAGGGAGAAGCCGGGAGGGAGAGAAAUAGAAAGAAAGAAAGUAAAGAAAAAAAAGAAUAGAAAAGAAGAAAAGGAAAAAUAAAUAGAAAAUUAGGGAGAGAUUAAGGAGGUUUGGAAAAUUAAAAUAAUUGGGGUUAGUUGUAGGUUUCUUUUAGUUGUAGAAUCGCAAAAUUUUAUAUAAUUAUAGAAUAUUUUGGUAAUCUCUAUACGUAAUCAAUUCGCGAUAGAAAUUUAGAUUUAUUUAAGAGCUAAAUAAUUAUGUUGAAUUCUUAGGAAUGUACUUCUAAAUCACAAAAAAAAAGACUUAGGAUGAAUGAACUUAAAAUUGGAAUGAAGUGGUUUUGCAAACUUUGUAGUCGAUAUAGAAAGAUCGAUUCGCGUUCGACUUUUAUUUGAGUUUAUUUGGAUUUCAUUUGAAUUCUAAUUGAAUUCAAAUCAAUUCUUCCCACGUACUUUUAGAUCCCGAGGGAGUUGCGGAUCUGAGCCAGGAUCAAGACCCGCAGGACU
RNAcentral lists this long non-coding RNA (6508 nucleotides) under Oryza sativa (Asian cultivated rice). RNAcentral's name for it is "long non-coding RNA (OSAT_LNC000009)". Lineage: Eukaryota; Viridiplantae; Streptophyta; Magnoliopsida; Poales; Poaceae. The record is from RNAcentral.